Non-coding RNA from Vicia faba (fava bean), 183 nucleotides. The record is from the annotation of a GenBank genome assembly. Lineage: Eukaryota; Viridiplantae; Streptophyta; Magnoliopsida; Fabales; Fabaceae.
AUGUCAUACCAAAUCAAUCAAUAUCAAUUCAACACACAAAAGUUAAGGUUUGUAAAUCGAUUUCUUAAAAACCACACAUGCACGCAAGCACAAAAUAAAGUUUACAGAGCAAGCAAGAAUGCUUCCCCUCAUCAAUUAACUAAUGAUCAGUGUUGUCAAAUAAUGACUAUAGAAACACUAUAG